This 252-nucleotide ribozyme is filed under the name Sexangularia sp. CB-2014. RNAcentral describes it as "partial Bacterial RNase P class A". It matches the Rfam family "Bacterial RNase P class A", at positions 45 to 288 of the family's 367-position model. From Rfam's summary of the family: Ribonuclease P (RNase P) is a ubiquitous endoribonuclease, found in archaea, bacteria and eukarya as well as chloroplasts and mitochondria. Its best characterised activity is the generation of mature 5'-ends of tRNAs by cleaving the 5'-leader elements of precursor-tRNAs. Cellular RNase Ps are ribonucleoproteins. Lineage: Eukaryota; Tubulinea; Elardia; Arcellinida. The record is from RNAcentral.
GGAAAGUCCGGGCUCCAUAGGGCAAGGUGCCAGGUAACGCCUGGGGGGUGUCACAGCCCACGACCAGUGCAACAGAGAGCAAACCGCCGAUGGCCCGCGCAAGCGGGAUCAGGUAAGGGUGAAAGGGUGCGGUAAGAGCGCACCGCGCGGCUGGUAACAGUCCGCGGCACGGUAAACUCCACCCGGAGCAAGGCCAAAUAGGGGUUCAUAAGGUACGGCCCGUACUGAACCCGGGUAGGCUGCUUGAGCCAG